RNAcentral lists this ribosomal RNA (481 nucleotides) under uncultured bacterium. RNAcentral describes it as "partial 16S ribosomal RNA". It matches the Rfam family "Bacterial small subunit ribosomal RNA", at positions 28 to 523 of the family's 1533-position model. The record is from RNAcentral.
GACGAACGCUGGCGGCGUGCUUAACACAUGCAAGUCGAACGCUGAAGCCCUUUCGGGGGUGGAUGAGUGGCGAACGGGUGAGUAACACGUGGGUAAUCUGCCCUGCCCUCUGGGAUACGCCUUGGAAACGGGGUCUAAUACCGGAUAGGACACAUCGCCGCAUGGUGUGUAUGUGGAAAGUUCCGGCGGUGCAGGUUGAGACCGCGGCCUAUCAGCUUGUUGGUGGGGUGAUGGCCUACCAAGGCGACGACGGGUAGCCGGCCUGAGAGGGUGACCGGCCACACUGGGACUGAGACACGGCCCAGACUCCUACGGGAGGCAGCAGUGGGGAAUCUUGCGCAAUGGGCGAAAGCCUGACGCAGCAACGCCGCGUGGGGGAUGACGGCCUUCGGGUUGUAAACCUCUUUCGACCGGGACGAAGGGUGACUGACGGUACCGGUAGAAGAAGCACCGGCUAACUACGUGCCAGCCGCCGCGGUAA